Non-coding RNA from Picea glauca (white spruce), 45 nucleotides. The record is from Rfam. NCBI's taxonomy places the organism in Eukaryota, Viridiplantae, Streptophyta, Pinopsida, Pinales, Pinaceae.
GCAAUGGUGUCUUUAGACACCACCACUACUCUCUAGGAAUCUCUA